Molecule: long non-coding RNA, 1432 nt
Filed under: Anolis carolinensis (green anole)
Lineage: Eukaryota; Metazoa; Chordata; Lepidosauria; Squamata; Anolidae
Description: lncRNA (ENSACAG00000031185.2)
Source: RNAcentral
AAAUUGCUCACAAAGGAUGAUGGGACUGACAUCUGAAGUAAAAGCCGGCAUAAAAUUAUCUGCUGAAAAUAAUAAUUCUGACACUCACAUUUGCCCUUUAGAUAUAUAGAUAUAAAUAAAGGGUAAAUUAAUCACACUGGCUGAGUCAUUUUAAAGAUUUCAGAGCUGCAGUAGUAUUCCUGCUCCGAUGAAAGUUGGGCUCGUAACCGAUGCUGGUGAUGAGAUCGAAAAAUCAGCUGAUGACCCAAAAUGCAGACUGUGCAAGGAAACCGACGAAACCAUUGAUCAUCUCCUCAGCUGCUGUAAGAAAAUUGCACAGACAGACUACAAACAGAGGCACAACUACGUGUCCCAAAUGAUUCAUUGGAACUUAUGCCUCAAGUACCACCUUCCAGCAGCAAAGAACUGGUGGGAUCACAAACCUGCAAAAGUAUUGGAAAAUGAACAUGCAAAGAUACUGUGGGACUUCCGAAUCCAGACUGACAAAGUUCUGGAACACAACACACCAGACAUCACAGUUGUGGAAAAGAAAAAGGUUUGGAUCAUUGAUGUCACCAUACCAGGUGACAGUCGCAUUGACGAAAAACAACAGGAAAAACUCAGCCGCUAUCAGGACCUCAAGAUUGAACUUCAAAGACUCUGGCAGAAACCAGUGCAGGUGGUCCCGGUGGUGAUGGGCACAUUGGGUGCCGUGCCAAAAGAUCUCAGCCGGCAUUUGGAAACAAUAGACAUUGGCAAAAUCACGAUCUGCCAACUGCAAAAGGCCACCCUACUGGGAUCUGCACGCAUCAUCCAAAAAUACAUCACACAGUCCUAGACACUUGGGAAGUGUUCGACUUGUGAUUUUGUGAUACGAAAUCCAGCAUAUCUAUCUUGUUUGCUGUGUCAUACAAUGUCAUUGUGUCAAUAAUAAUAAUAAAUUUAAUUUCUUACCCGCCUCUCCCCAUGGGCCAAGUUGGGUUACAACAUUGUUCAAACACAUACAGUAGAGUCUCACUUAUCCAACACUUGCUUAUCCAAUGUUCUGGAUUAUCCAACACAUUUUUGUAGUCAAUGUUUUCAAUACAUCGUGAUAUUUUGGUGCUAAAUUCAUAAAUACAGUAAUUACUACAUAGCAUUACUGCGUAUUGAACUACUUUUUCUGUCAAAUUUGUAGUAUAACAUAAUGUUUUGGUGCAUAAUUGGUAAAAUCAUAACCUAAUUUGAUGUUUAAUAGGCUUUUCCUUAAUCUCUCCUUAUUAUCCAACAUAUUAGCUUAUCCAAUGUUCUGCCGGCCUGUUUACAUUGGAUAAGCGAGACUCUACUGUAAUUAAAAGCACUCCAUAAAAUAUACAUAUUAAAAUGUAUUUCCAUAAAAUACAUAUUAAAAUACACAAACAACAGUUAGGCAUAGAGUGGAAGUUUAAAAUUCAUCAUUAAAACUGUCUGAGUA